Molecule: small RNA, 542 nt
Filed under: Histoplasma capsulatum var. duboisii H88
Lineage: Eukaryota; Fungi; Ascomycota; Eurotiomycetes; Onygenales; Ajellomycetaceae
Description: Histoplasma capsulatum H88 hypothetical RNA
Source: RNAcentral
UAAAGGGCUUGCCCUCACACUUAUCCUCACAUCGGUUACCCUAGCUUAUUUUCUAUUUUUCCUUGAUCUUGCCGUCAUCUCCACAGCCACUCCAGCCAUUACGUCCGAGUUUGACUCGCUGGUGGAUGUUGGUUGGUAUGGCGGUGCUUACCAGCUUGGAAGUGCCGCGUUCCAACCAUUGAGCGGAAAGAUUUACAGCCAGUUCUCCAUAAAGUGGACGUUCCUUGUAUUCUUUUUUGUCUUCGAGGUUGGCUCUGCCAUAUGCGCAGCGGCUCAGUCGUCGCCCAUGUUCAUCAUCGGGCGCGUUAUUGCAGGCGUAGGGUCUGCGGGAGUGGCCAACGGCGCUGUGACAACUAUUUCUACUGUCCUCCCAACGAAGAAACAAGCGCUUUUUAUGGGAAUCAACAUGGGGAUGGGCCAGCUAGGCCUCGCAACGGGACCUAUCAUCGGAGGGGCUUUUACCACCGGCGUGUCGUGGCGGUGGUGUUUUUACAUCAACCUUCCUUUAGGUGCUGUCGUCGGUGGAUUCCUUCUUUUCAACA